GACAGAGGUGCCAAGCGUUAGGCGGAAUCACUGGGCUUAAAGCGUGUGUAGGCGGAACGUUAAGUGCCUUGUGAAAUCCCACGGCUCAACCGUGGAACUGCUGGGCAUACUGGCGUUCUUGAGCCAGCCAGGGGUCGUCGGAACAAACGGUGGAGCGGUGAAAUGCGUAGAUAUCGUCAGGAACACCGGUGGCGAAAGCGGCUUACUGGGUCUCUUCUGACGCUGAGGUACGAAAGCUAGGGUAGCGAACGGG
Molecule: ribosomal RNA, 253 nt
Filed under: uncultured bacterium
Lineage: Bacteria
Description: partial 16S ribosomal RNA
Rfam family: Bacterial small subunit ribosomal RNA
Source: RNAcentral